CGCGGCCUAUCAGCUUGUUGGUGAGGUAAUGGCUCACCAAGGCGACGACGGGUAGCCGGCCUGAGAGGGCGACCGGCCACACUGGGACUGAGACACGGCCCAGACUCCUACGGGAGGCAGCAGUGGGGAAUAUUGCACAAUGGGCGAAAGCCUGAUGCAGCGACGCCGCGUGAGGGAUGACGGCCUUCGGGUUGUAAACCUCUUUCAGCAGGGAAGAAGCGAAAGUGACGGUACCUGCAGAAGAAGCGCCGGCUAACUACGUGCCAGCAGCCGCGGUAAUACGUAGGGCGCAAGCGUUGUCCGGAAUUAUUGGGCGUAAAGAGCUCGUAGGCGGUCUGUCGCGUCGGAUGUGAAAGCCCGGGGCUUAACCCCGGGUCUGCAUUCGAUACGGGCAGACUAGAGUGUGGUAGGGGAGAUCGGAAUUCCUGGUGUAGCGGUGAAAUGCGCAGAUAUCAGGAGGAACACCAGUGGCGAAGGCGGAUCUCUGGGCCAUUACUGACGCUGAGGAGCGAAAGCGUGGGGAGCGAACAGGAUUAGAUACCCUGGUAGUCCACGCCGUAAACGGUGGGGACUAGGUGUUGGCGACAUUCCACGUCGUCGGUGCCGCAGCUAACGCAUUAAGUUCCCCGCCUGGGGAGUACGG
RNAcentral lists this ribosomal RNA (643 nucleotides) under uncultured bacterium. RNAcentral's name for it is "bacterial SSU rRNA". It matches the Rfam family "Bacterial small subunit ribosomal RNA", at positions 232 to 885 of the family's 1533-position model. The record is from RNAcentral.